GAUGAACGCUGGCGGCGUGCCUAAUACAUGCAAGUCGAGCGAACAGACGAGGGGCUUGCUCCUUUGACGUUAGCGGCGGACGGGUGAGUAACACGUGGGUAACCUACCUAUAAGACUGGGAUAACUUCGGGAAACCGGAGCUAAUACCGGAUAAUAUUUCGAACCGCAUGGUUCGAUAGUGAAAGAUGGCUUUGCUAUCACUUAUAGAUGGACCUGCGCCGUAUUAGCUAGUUGGUAAGGUAACGGCUUACCAAGGCAACGAUACGUAGCCGACCUGAGAGGGUGAUCGGCCACACUGGAACUGAGACACGGUCCAGACUCCUACGGGAGGCAGCAGUAGGGAAUCUUCCGCAAUGGGCGAAAGCCUGACCGAGCAACGCCGCGUGAGUGAUGAAGGUCUUCGGAUCGUAAAACUCUGUUAUUAGGGAAGAACAAACGUGUAAGUAACUGUGCACGUCUUGACGGUACCUAAUCAGAAAGCCCCGGCUAACUACGUG
RNAcentral lists this ribosomal RNA (497 nucleotides) under uncultured bacterium. Its description in RNAcentral is "partial 16S ribosomal RNA". It matches the Rfam family "Bacterial small subunit ribosomal RNA", at positions 28 to 507 of the family's 1533-position model. The record is from RNAcentral.